GACCGUCGAAGGUUGCUGGUCUCUGGCUCCCGGCUCUAGCCUUCGAUUCGUUCGCCGGGUUUUCCGCUCGGGUUUCUCGGUGUGACAGGGAAGAGAGAGAGAGGAAGUGCUCAAGUGAUCGGGAUCAUCGCGCUGAUCAGCCCUGACAGCGAUCGGUCAGCUGAUUCCUUGUUUCUGAAGGAGAGACGAUCAGCGGAUAAUGGUUUCGUUUUCCGUGCCGACCGCUAAGCAGUGAUUAAUGGACUGAAUCCAUUGAAUUCGAGCCGAUUGACGGAAAAUCGGCCGAUAGUGAAUAUUGAGACUGUACAAAGGAGGGAAGAAAAAGUGGUGACGAGAGAGAGAAAAGUGAUUUUAUUCCUGUGAGUGCAGACGUCGAUUCGUGACGAAAACUCGAGGACCAUGACGGAGGGCGAACCUAACGUGAGUAAAUUAAUUUGCAGCAGGAUCGAUCGAGAAAGUUCAAUGGAUACCGACUUCGUGUAUUAAUUGCUUGUCACUUGCAACGAUUAUUAUGUGCAUCUUAAGUAGACAAGAAGAGCAUCUCUUACUUUGUCUUCUCUUACUAAUUCCGACUUCUUAUCUUUAAGAGCGUCUAGCGUUUUAAUAUCUUAAUAUAUGUUUAUAGUGUAUAAUAUGAAGAAUAUUAAAGAAUGAGCCACUUAUUGUCAAAUACUUAAAUUCAUGCAAA
Molecule: non-coding RNA, 688 nt
Organism: Nylanderia fulva
Lineage: Eukaryota; Metazoa; Arthropoda; Insecta; Hymenoptera; Formicidae
Source: RefSeq, a predicted model, not a curated record